This 1496-nucleotide ribosomal RNA is filed under the name uncultured organism. RNAcentral describes it as "SSU rRNA". It matches the Rfam family "Bacterial small subunit ribosomal RNA". The record is from RNAcentral.
GAUGAACGCUGGCGGCGUGCCUAAUACAUGCAAGUCGAACGAGUUCUGAUUAUUGAAAGGUGCUUGCAUCUUGAUUUAAUUUUGAGCGAGUGGCGGACGGGUGAGUAACACGUGGGUAACCUGCCCUUAAGUGGGGGAUAACAUUUGGAAACAGAUGCUAAUACCGCAUAAAUCCAAGAACCGCAUGGUUCUUGGCUGAAAGAUGGCGUAAGCUAUCGCUUUUGGAUGGACCCGCGGCGUAUUAGCUAGUUGGUGAGGUAACGGCUCACCAAGGCAAUGAUACGUAGCCGAACUGAGAGGUUGAUCGGCCACAUUGGGACUGAGACACGGCCCAAACUCCUACGGGAGGCAGCAGUAGGGAAUCUUCCACAAUGGACGCAAGUCUGAUGGAGCAACGCCGCGUGAGUGAAGAAGGCUUUCGGGUCGUAAAACUCUGUUGUUGGAGAAGAAUGGUCGGCAGAGUAACUGUUGUCGGCGUGACGGUAUCCAACCAGAAAGCCACGGCUAACUACGUGCCAGCAGCCGCGGUAAUACGUAGGUGGCAAGCGUUAUCCGGAUUUAUUGGGCGUAAAGCGAGCGCAGGCGGUUUUUUAAGUCUGAUGUGAAAGCCCUCGGCUUAACCGAGGAAGUGCAUCGGAAACUGGGAAACUUGAGUGCAGAAGAGGACAGUGGAACUCCAUGUGUAGCGGUGAAAUGCGUAGAUAUAUGGAAGAACACCAGUGGCGAAGGCGGCUGUCUGGUCUGUAACUGACGCUGAGGCUCGAAAGCAUGGGUAGCGAACAGGAUUAGAUACCCUGGUAGUUCAUGCCGUAAACGAUGAAUGCUAGGUGUUGGAGGGUUUUCGCCCUUCAGUGCCGCAGCUAACGCAUUAAGCAUUUCGCCUGGGGAGUACGACCGCAAGGUUGAAACUCAAAGGAAUUGACGGGGGCCCGCACAAGCGGUGGAGCAUGUGGUUUAAUUUGAAGCAACGCGAAGAACCUUACCAGGUCUUGACAUUUUUUGAUCACCUGAGAGAUCAGGUUUUCCCUUUGGGGGCAAAAUGACAGGUGGUGCAUGGUUGUUGUCAGCUUGUGUCGUGAGAUGUUGGGUUAAGUCCCGCAACGAGCGCAACCCUUAUGACUAGUUGCCAGCAUUUAGUUGGGCACUUUAGUAAGACUGCCGGUGACAAACCGGAGGAAGGUGGGGAUGACGUCAAAUCAUCAUGCCCCUUAUGACCUGGGCUACACACGUGCUACAAUGGAUGGUACAACGAGUUGCGAGACCGCGAGGUCAAGCUAAUUUUUUAAAGCCAUUUUCAGUUUGGACUGUAGGCUGCAACUUGCCUACACGAAGUUGGAAUCGCUAGUAAUCGCGGAUCAGCACGCCGCGGUGAAUACGUUCCCGGGCCUUGUACACACCGCCCGUCACACCAUGAGAGUUUGUAACACCCGAAGCCGGUGGCGUAACCCUUUUAGGGAGCGAGCCGUUUAAGGUGGGACAAAUGAUUAGGGUGAAGU